GACUCAUGGCUCCGUGAUAGAACAUCCAUCUUGCAAGCAGAAGGUCCUGGGUUCAAUCCCCAGGUAGGGUUG
Molecule: non-coding RNA, 72 nt
Organism: Podarcis lilfordi (Lilford's wall lizard)
Lineage: Eukaryota; Metazoa; Chordata; Lepidosauria; Squamata; Lacertidae
Source: the annotation of a GenBank genome assembly